RNAcentral lists this long non-coding RNA (311 nucleotides) under Brachypodium distachyon (stiff brome). RNAcentral describes it as "long non-coding RNA (BDIS_LNC000242)". Lineage: Eukaryota; Viridiplantae; Streptophyta; Magnoliopsida; Poales; Poaceae. The record is from RNAcentral.
AUGAUGCAUAAUAUUACAUCUUAUCAUUUCAGAAGAUUUGUCUUCGCGAAAAAACAAAUAAAAAACGCUAUACAUAUUUUGGUUAAGUAAAUAUAAAAAAUAUAAAAAAAAUCAUUAUACAAGUCUAGCCACGCAAUCUGCGCAGGUCAUCCCAAUUAUUUCCAGCCGAUGUUACGUUCGACUGAACCUCUAAAAAGAAACACCGAGUCAAAAUUAACAACAGGAAACAGUGGCGGGGGGCGCCAAGCAGAGCAGCAACAGAGUGACAAACAAGGGUGGGAGUAUUGUGACGGCUUUGGCCUGGCAACCUA